This 73-nucleotide transfer RNA is filed under the name Candidatus Omnitrophota bacterium. RNAcentral describes it as "Candidatus Omnitrophica bacterium (groundwater metagenome) tRNA-Ala". It matches the Rfam family "tRNA". Rfam says of the family: Transfer RNA (tRNA) molecules are approximately 80 nucleotides in length. Their secondary structure includes four short double-helical elements and three loops (D, anti-codon, and T loops). The record is from RNAcentral. Lineage: Bacteria; Pseudomonadati; Candidatus Omnitrophota.
GGGGAUGUAGCUCAGCUGGUAGAGCGCCUGCUUUGCAAGCAGGAGGCCGCCGGUUCGAUCCCGGCCAUCUCCA